UUGGACAGGCUGAAUAUCCUUCAGGAC
Molecule: non-coding RNA, 27 nt
Filed under: Homo sapiens (human)
Lineage: Eukaryota; Metazoa; Chordata; Mammalia; Primates; Hominidae
Source: RNAcentral